Molecule: ribosomal RNA, 1372 nt
Filed under: uncultured bacterium
Lineage: Bacteria
Description: bacterial SSU rRNA
Rfam family: Bacterial small subunit ribosomal RNA
Source: RNAcentral
GAUGAACGCUGGCGGCGUGCCUAAUACAUGCAAGUCGAGCGAACGGACGAGAAGCUUGCUUCUCUGAUGUUAGCGGCGGACGGGUGAGUAACACGUGGAUAACCUACCUAUAAGACUGGGAUAACUUCGGGAAACCGGAGCUAAUACCGGAUAAUAUUUUGAACCGCAUGGUUCAAAAGUGAAAGACGGUCUUGCUGUCACUUAUAGAUGGAUCCGCGCUGCAUUAGCUAGUUGGUAAGGUAACGGCUUACCAAGGCAACGAUGCAUAGCCGACCUGAGAGGGUGAUCGGCCACACUGGAACUGAGACACGGUCCAGACUCCUACGGGAGGCAGCAGUAGGGAAUCUUCCGCAAUGGGCGAAAGCCUGACGGAGCAACGCCGCGUGAGUGAUGAAGGUCUUCGGAUCGUAAAACUCUGUUAUUAGGGAAGAACAUAUGUGUAAGUAACUGUGCACAUCUUGACGGUACCUAAUCAGAAAGCCACGGCUAACUACGUGCCAGCAGCCGCGGUAAUACGUAGGUGGCAAGCGUUAUCCGGAAUUAUUGGGCGUAAAGCGCGCGUAGGCGGUUUUUUAAGUCUGAUGUGAAAGCCCACGGCUCAACCGUGGAGGGUCAUUGGAAACUGGAAAACUUGAGUGCAGAAGAGGAAAGUGGAAUUCCAUGUGUAGCGGUGAAAUGCGCAGAGAUAUGGAGGAACACCAGUGGCGAAGGCGACUUUCUGGUCUGUAACUGACGCUGAUGUGCGAAAGCGUGGGGAUCAAACAGGAUUAGAUACCCUGGUAGUCCACGCCGUAAACGAUGAGUGCUAAGUGUUAGGGGGUUUCCGCCCCUUGGUGCUGCAGCUAACGCAUUAAGCACUCCGCCUGGGGAGUACGACCGCAAGGCUGAAACUCAAAGGAAUUGACGGGGACCCGCACAAGCGGUGGAGCAUGUGGUUUAAUUCGAAGCAACGCGAAGAACCUUACCAAAUCUUGACAUCCUUUGACGACUCUAGAGAUAGAGCCUUCCCCUUCGGGGGACAAAGUGACAGGUGGUGCAUGGUUGUCGUCAGCUCGUGUCGUGAGAUGUUGGGUUAAGUCCCGCAACGAGCGCAACCCUUAAGCUUAGUUGCCAUCAUUAAGUUGGGCACUCUAAGUUGACUGCCGGUGACAAACCGGAGGAAGGUGGGGAUGACGUCAAAUCAUCAUGCCCCUUAUGAUUUGGGCUACACACGUGCUACAAUGGACAAUACAAAGGGCAGCGAAACCGCGAGGUCAAGCAAAUCCCAUAAAGUUGUUCUCAGUUCGGAUUGUAGUCUGCAACUCGACUACAUGAAGCUGGAAUCGCUAGUAAUCGUGGAUCAGCAUGCUACGGUGAAUACGUUCCCGGGUCU